GAUCACAACACAAAUAAAACCCAUUGACAGCCCAAGGGCCUUCCUCCUUUCUCCACCACUGUCCUCAAGACAAUCAAUCUACAACCCAACCUAUCAAUAAGGGAGGGGAAACCCACUAAAUUGGGAGGGGAAGGCAGCCUUCCCCACCCAGGAGCAGAGAAAAGCCGCUUGAAGCAGCAGAGCAAAGAGACUCUAGUCUCGGAAAAACAAAGAAAGACGAGAGAAAUUUUCUCUCUUCAC
RNAcentral lists this unclassified non-coding RNA (240 nucleotides) under Hevea brasiliensis (rubber tree). Lineage: Eukaryota; Viridiplantae; Streptophyta; Magnoliopsida; Malpighiales; Euphorbiaceae. The record is from RNAcentral.